Long non-coding RNA from Hevea brasiliensis (rubber tree), 549 nucleotides. RefSeq lists it as uncharacterized. The transcript has 2 exons. The record is from RefSeq and is a predicted model, not a curated record. NCBI's taxonomy places the organism in Eukaryota, Viridiplantae, Streptophyta, Magnoliopsida, Malpighiales, Euphorbiaceae.
GAUUGAUGACUGAUUUGAUGGGCCCAGGAGGGGCUGUGUGAUAUGAUUGAACUGUUGAUAUGUGGAUUGUGAAUAUAGAAGUGCGUUUUUAGCCCUUUUGCAGGUCGGGUAGGUCCUAGGUAUAGGGGAGACUCUGCCGGAUUUUCGGCACGACUUAGGACGUACUUGAUAUUUUUCUUUGUUGUAUUGAGUCAAAUUUAUUAAAUAGAUGUAAUGUAAUUGUCAGGUGAGCCGGGACAGCCUUCUUCCUCCGCCCAGCCGCCACAGUAAUUUGUCGUCAAGUCUGCCACAGGAGGAUAUUUUGUUCUGGGUUAACCUGCUUUUCUACCUCGCAGGUUGUUUAUCAAUAUUGUGUAAUUUUAAUUACUCCUAGAAUUUCCGCAUGUGUUAGCAGUAUUUAUUUGAAUUUGGUCUGUAAUAUUUUUAUCAUGUUGGACCUGUAAACUUAAAUAUGUUAUGCAUGUUGAUGGAUUGGAUGAGGGAGCUGAGCUCCCAUUUAUUUUAUGUUGAUGAGUAUGUGGAGGGUGAGCUGAGCUCCCCAAUUGAGUA